RNAcentral lists this ribosomal RNA (395 nucleotides) under Phacochoerus africanus (Common warthog). Its description in RNAcentral is "partial 12S ribosomal RNA". It matches the Rfam family "Bacterial small subunit ribosomal RNA", at positions 796 to 1384 of the family's 1533-position model. Lineage: Eukaryota; Metazoa; Chordata; Mammalia; Artiodactyla; Suidae. RNAcentral also lists the same sequence under 1 other name. The record is from RNAcentral.
CUAGCCCUAAACCUAGAUAGUCGCCUAACAAAACUAUUCGCCAGAGUACUACUCGCAACAGCCUAAAACUCAAAGGACUUGGCGGUGCUUCACAUCCACCUAGAGGAGCCUGUUCUAUAAUCGAUAAACCCCGAUAAACCUUACCAACUCUUGCCAAUUCAGCCUAUAUACCGCCAUCUUCAGCAAACCCUAAAAAGGAAUAACAGUAAGCACAAUCACCAUACAUAAAAACGUUAGGUCAAGGUGUAGCUUAUGAGUUGGAAAGAAAUGGGCUACAUUUUCUGCACAAGAACAUCUACUCCCAUACGAAAGUUUUUAUGAAACUAAAAACUAAAGGAGGAUUUAGCAGUAAAUCAAGAAUAGAGUGCUUGAUUGAAUAAGGCCAUGAAGCACGC